UGGGGAAUUUUGGACAAUGGGGGGAAACCCCUGAUCCAGCCAUCCCGCGUGUGCGAUGAAGGCCUUCGGGUUGUAAAGCACUUUUGGCAGGAAAGAAACGUCGCGGGUUAAUACCCCCGCGAAACUGACGGUACCUGCAGAAUAAGCACCGGCUAACUACGUGCCAGCAGCCGCGGUAAUACGUAGGGUGCAAGCGUUAAUCGGAAUUACUGGGCGUAAAGCGUGCGCAGGCGGUUCGGAAAGAAAGAUGUGAAAUCCCAGAGCUUAACUUUGGAACUGCAUUUUUAAACUACCGGGCUAGAGUGUGUCAGAGGGAGGUGGAAUUCCGCGUGUAGCAGUGAAAUGCGUAGAUAUGCGGAGGAACACCGAUGGCGAAGGCAGCCUCCUGGGAUAACACUGACGCUCAUGCACGAAAGCGUGGGGGAGCAAACAGGAUUAGAUACCCUGGUAGUCCACGCCCUAAAACGAUGUCAACUAGCUGUUGGGGGCCUUCGGGCCUUGGUAGCGCAGCUAACGCGUGAAGUUGACCGCCCUGGGGAGUACGGUCGCAAGAUUAAAAACUC
This 563-nucleotide ribosomal RNA is filed under the name uncultured bacterium. Its description in RNAcentral is "partial 16S ribosomal RNA". It matches the Rfam family "Bacterial small subunit ribosomal RNA", at positions 355 to 902 of the family's 1533-position model. The record is from RNAcentral.